RNAcentral lists this ribosomal RNA (401 nucleotides) under uncultured soil bacterium. RNAcentral's name for it is "bacterial SSU rRNA". It matches the Rfam family "Bacterial small subunit ribosomal RNA", at positions 975 to 1375 of the family's 1533-position model. The record is from RNAcentral.
CAGGUCUUGACAUCCCAUUGACCGCUAUGGAGACAUAGCUUUCCCUUCGGGGACAGUGGUGACAGGUGGUGCAUGGUUGUCGUCAGCUCGUGUCGUGAGAUGUUGGGUUAAGUCCCGCAACGAGCGCAACCCUUGUUCUUAGUUGCCAUCAUUUAGUUGGGCACUCUAAGGAGACUGCCGGUGACAAACCGGAGGAAGGUGGGGAUGACGUCAAAUCAUCAUGCCCCUUAUGACCUGGGCUACACACGUGCUACAAUGGACGGUACAAACGGUUGCCAACUCGCGAGAGGGAGCUAAUCCGAUAAAACCGUUCUCAGUUCGGAUUGUAGGCUGCAACUCGCCUGCAUGAAGCUGGAAUCGCUAGUAAUCGCGGAUCAGAACGCCGCGGUGAAUACGUUCCC